RNAcentral lists this microRNA precursor (205 nucleotides) under Oryza nivara. RNAcentral's name for it is "MIR812 microRNA precursor family". It matches the Rfam family "MIR812 microRNA precursor family". The record is from Rfam by way of RNAcentral. Lineage: Eukaryota; Viridiplantae; Streptophyta; Magnoliopsida; Poales; Poaceae.
AAAAAGACAAACCCUGGUUUCCGUGCCCAACGUUUGACCGUUCGUCUUAUUUGAAAAAAUUAUGAAAAAAAUUAAAAAGACAAGUCACGCAUAAAAUAUUAAUCAUGUUUUAUCAUCUAACAACAAUGAAAAUACGAAUUAUAAAAAAAUUUCAUAUAAGACGGACAGUCAAAGUUGGACACGUAAACCUAGGGUUUGCCUUUUG